GGAGGGAGCAGGCAGAAUAACAGGUUUUACUCCCUUCCUGUCUUUGUCCCUCUCUUUCCCUCUCUCUCCUCUUUGUCCAAGUCCCUCUCUUUCCUCUUUGUCCAAGUCCCUCUCUCUCCUCUUUGUCCAAGUCCCUCUCUCUCCCUCUCUCUCCUCUUUGUCCAAGUCCCUCUCUCUCCCUCUCUCUUCUCUUUGUCAAAGUCUAUCUCUCUCCUUCUCUCUCCCUGUCUCUCUCCUCUUUGUCCAAGUCCCUCUCUCUCCCUCUCUCUCGCCUCUUUGUCCAAGUCCCUGUCUCUCCCUCUCUCUCCUCUUUGUCCAAUUCCCUCUCUCUCCUCUUUGUCCAAGUCCCUCUCUCUCCCUGUCUCUCUCCUCUUUGUCCAAGUCCCUCUCUCUCCCUCUCUCUACUCUUUGUCCAAGUCCCUCUCUCUCCCUGUCUCUCUCCUCUUUGUCCAAUUCGCUCUCUCUCCCUCUCUCUACUCUUUGUCCAAGUCCCUCUCUCUCCCUCUCUCUCCUCUUUGUCCAAGUCCCUCUCUCUCCCUCUCUCUCCUCUUUGUCCAAAUCCCUGUCUCUCCCUCUCUCUCUCUCCUCUUUGUCCAAGUCCCUGUCUCUCCCUCUCUCUCCUCUUUGUCCAAGUCCCUCUGUCUGCCUCUCUCUCCUCUUUGUCCAAUUCCCUCUCUCUCCUCUUUGUCCAAGUCCCUCUCUCUCCCUCUCUCUCCUCUUUGUCCAAGUCCCUGUCUCUCCCUCUCUCUCUCCUCUUUGUCCAAGUCCCUCUCUCUCCCUCUCUCUCCUCUUUGUCAAAGUCCCUCUCUCUCCCUCUCUUCUCUUUGUCAAAGUCUAUCUCCCUCCCUCUCUCUCACUGUCUCUCUCCUCUUUGUCCAAGUCCCUCUCUCUCCCUCUCUCUCUCCUAUUUGUCCAAGUCCCUGUCUCUCCCUCACUCUCCUCUUUGUCCAAGUCCCUCUCUCUCCCUCUCUAUCCUCUUUGUCCAAGUCCCUCUCUCUCCCUCUCUCUUCUCUUUGUCAAAGUCUGUCUCUCUCCCUCUCUCUCCCUGUCUCUCUCCUCCUUGUCCAAGUUCUUCUCUCUCCCUCUCUCUCCUCUUUGUCCCCAUCCCUCUCUCUCCCUCUCUCUCCCGCUGUCUCCUCUUUGUCCACAUCCCUCUCUCUCCCUCUGUCUCCUCUUUGUCCCGGUCUCUCUCUCUCUCCCUCUGUCUCCUCUCUCUCCCUCUGUCUCCUCUCUUUCUCCCUCUGUCUCCUCUCUCUCCCUCUGUCUCCUCUCUUUCUCCCUCUGUCCCUCUCUCCGUCUGUCUCCUCUCUUUCUCCAUCUGUCCCUCUGUCCCUCUGUCUCCUCUCUUUCUCCCUCUGUCCCUCUGUCUCCUCUCUUUCUUCCUCUGUCCCUCUCUCCCUCUGUCUCCUCUCUUUCUCCAUCUGUCCCUCUCUUCCUCUGUCUCCCUCUCUCCCUCUCUCUCCUCUCUCUCCCUCUGUCUCCUCUCUUUCUCCAUCUGUCCCUCUCUAGCUCUGUCUCCUCUCUUUCUCCCUCUGUCCCUCUCUCCCUCUGUCUCCUCUCUUUCUGCCUCUGUCUCCUCUCUCUCCCUCUGUCUCCUCUCUUUCUCCCUCUGUCCCUCUGUCCCUCUGUCUCCUCUCUUUCUCCAUCUGUCCCUCUGUCCCUCUGUCUCCUCUCUUUCUCCAUCUGUCCCUCUGUCCCUCUGUCUCCUCUCUUUCUGCCUCUGUCUCCUCUCUCUCCCUCUGUCUCCUCUCUUUCUCCCUCUGUCCCUCUGUCCCUCUGUCUCCUCUCUUUCUCCAUCUGUCCCUCUGUCUCCUCUCUCUCCCUCUGUCUCUUCUCUUUCUCCAUCUGUCCCUCUGUCCCUCUGUCUCCUCUCUUUCUCCAUAUGUCCCUCUCUCCCUCUGUCUCCUCUCUUUCUCCCUCUGUCCCUCUCUCCCUCUCUUUCUCCAUCUGUCCCUCUCUCCCUCUGUCUCCUCUCUUUCUCCAUCUGUCACUCUCUCCCUCUGUCUCCUCUCUUUCUCCCUCUGUCCCUCUCUCCCUCUGUCUCCUCUCUUUCUCCAUCUGUCCCUCUGUCCCUCUGUCUCCUCUCUUUCUCCAUCUGUCCCUCUGUCUCCUCUCUCUCCCUCUGUCUCUUCUCUUUCUCCAUCUGUCCCUCUGUCCCUCUGUCUCCUCUCUUUCUCCCUCUGUCUCCUCUCUCUCCCUGUCUCCUCUCUCUCCCUCUGUCUCCUCUCUUUCUCCAUCUGUCCCUCUGGCCCUCUGUCUCCUCUCUUUCUCCAUCUGUCCCUCUGUCUCCUCUCUCUCCCUCUGUCCCUCUGUCUCCUCUCUCUCCCUCUGUCUCCUCUCUUUCUCCCUCUGUCCCUCUGUCCCUCUGUCUCCUCUCUUUCUCCUUCUGUCCCUCUGUCUCCUCUCUCUCCCUCUGUCUCCUCUCUUUCUCCCUCUGUCUCCUCUCUCUCUCCCUCUGUCUCCUCUCUUUCUUCAUCUGUCCCUCUGUCCCUCUGUCUCCUCUCUUUCUCCCUCUGUCCCUCUGUCCCUCUGCCUCCUCUCUUUCUCCCUCUGUCCCUCUGUCUCCUCUCUCUCUCCCUCUGUCUCCUCUGUCUCCUCUCUUUCUCCCGCUGUCCCUCUGUCCCUCUGUCUCCUCUCUUUCUCCAUCUGUCCCUCUGUCCCUCUGUCUCCUCUCUUUCUCCAUCCGUCCCUCUGUCUCCUCUCUCUCCCUCUGUCUCCUCUCUUUCUCCAUCUGUCCCUCUCUCCCUCUGUCUCCUCUCUUUCUCCCUCUGUCUCCUCUCUCUCCCUCUGUCUCCUCACUUUCUCCCUCUGUCCCUCUCUCCCUCUUUCUCCUCUCUUUCUCCAUCUGUCCCUCUGUCCCUCUGUCUCCUCUCUUUCUUCAUCUGUCCCUCUGUCUCCUCUCUCUCCCUCUGUCUCCUCUCUCUCCCUCUGUCCCUCUGUCUCCUCUCUCUCCCUCUGUCUCCUCUCUUUCUCCAUCUGUCACUCUCUCCCUCUGUCUCCUCUCUUUCUCCCUCUGUCCCUCUCUCCCUCUGUCUCCUCUCUUUCUCCAUCUGUCCCUCUGUCCCUCUGUCUCCACUCUUUCUCCAUCUGUCCCUCUGUCUCCUCUCUCUCCCUCUGUCUCUUCUCUUUCUCCAUCUGUCCCUCUGUCCCUCUGUCUCCUCUCUUUCUCCCUCUGUCUCCUCUCUCUCCCUCUGUCUCCUCUCUUUCUCCCUCUGUCUCCUCUCUCUCCCUGUCUCCUCUCUCUCCCUCUGUCUCCUCUCUUUCUCCAUCUGUCCCUCUGGCCCUCUGUCUCCUCUCUUUCUCCAUCUGUCCCUCUGUCUCCUCUCUCUCCCUCUGUCCCUCUGUCUCCUCUCUCUCCCUCUGUCUCCUCUCUUUCUCCCUCUGUCCCUCUGUCCCUCUGUCUCCUCUCUUUCUCCUUCUGUCCCUCUGUCUCCUCUCUCUCCCUCUGUCUCCUCUCUUUCUCCCUCUGUCUCCUCUCUCUCUCCCUCUGUCUCCUCUCUUUCUUCAUCUGUCCCUCUGUCCCUCUGUCUCCUCUCUUUCUCCCUCUGUCCCUCUGUCCCUCUGCCUCCUCUCUUUCUCCCUCUGUCCCUCUGUCUCCUCUCUCUCUCCCUCUGUCUCCUCUGUCUCCUCUCUUUCUCCCUCUGUCCCUCUGUCCCUCUGUCUCCUCUCUUUCUCCAUCUGUCCCUCUGUCCCUCUGUCUCCUCUCUUUCUCCAUCUGUCCCUCUGUCUCCUCUCUUUCUCCAUCUGUCCCUCUCUCCCUCUGUCUCCUCUCUUUCUCCCUCUGUCUCCUCUCUCUCCCUCUGUCUCCUCACUUUCUCCCUCUGUCCCUCUCUCCCUCUUUCUCCUCUCUUUCUCCAUCUGUCCCUCUGUCCCUCUGUCUCCUCUCUUUCUUCAUCUGUCCCUCUGUCUCCUCUCUCUCCCUCUGUCUCCUCUCUCUCCCUCUGUCCCUCUGUCUCCUCUCUCUCCCUCUGUAUCCUCUCUUUCUCCCUAUGUCCCUCUGUCCCUCUGUCUCCUCUCUUUCUCCAUCUGUCCCUCUCUCCCUCUGUCUCCUCUCUCUCCCUCUGUCUCCUGUCUUUCUCCAUCUGUCCCUCUCUCCCUCUGUCUCCUCUCUUUCUCCCUCUGUCCCUCUGUCUCCUCUCUUUCUCCAUCUGUCCCUCUGUCUCCUCUCUUUCUCCCUCUGUCCCUCUGUCUCCUCUCUCUCCCUCUGUCUCCUCUCUUUCUCCCUCUGUCUCCUCUAUCUCCCUCUGUCUCCUCUCUUUCUUCAUCUGUCCCUCUGUCCCUCUGUCUACUCUCUUUCUCCCUCUGUCCCUCUGUCCCUCUGCUUCCUCUCUUUCUCCCUCUGUCCCUCUGUCUCCUCUCUCUCUCCCUCUGUCUCCUCUGUUUCUCCAUCUGUCCCUCUGUCUCCUCUCUUUCUCCAUCUGUCCCUCUUUCUCCUCUCUUUCUCCAUCUGUCCCUCUGUCUCCUCUCUUUCUCCUCUCUUUCUCCCUCUGUCCCUCUGUCUCCUCUCUCUCCCUCUGUCUCCUCUAUUUCUCCAUCUGUCCCUCUGCCUCCUCUCUUUCUCCCUCUGUCUCCUCUCUCUCCCUCUGUCUCCUCUCUUUCUCCAUCUGUCCCUCUGUCUCCUCUCUUUCUCCCUCUGUCCCUCUUUCUCCUCUCUUUCUCCCUCUGUCUCCUCUCUCUCCCUCUGUCUCCUCUCUUUCUCCAUCUGUCCCUCUGUCCCUCUGUCUCCUCUCUUUCUCCCUCUGUCCCUCUGUCUCCUCUCUUUCUCCAUCUGUCCCUCUCUCCCUCUGGCUCCUCUCUUUCUCUAUCUGUCCCUCUGUCUCCUCUCUCUCCCUCUGUCUCCUCUAUUUCUCCAUCUGUCCCUCUGCCUCCUCUCUUUCUCCCUCUGUCUCCUCUCUCUCCCUCUGUAUCCUCUCUUUCUCCAUCUGUCCCUCUGUCCCUCUGUCUCCUCUCUUUCUCCCUCUGUCCCUCUGUCUCCUCUCUUUCUCCAUCUGUCCCUCUCUUCCUCUGGCUCCUCUCUUUCUCCCUCUGUCCCUCUGUCCCUCUGUCUCCUCUCUCUCCCUCUGUGUCCCUCUAUCUCCCUCUGUCUCCUCUUUGUCCCUGUCCCUCUCUCUCCCUCUGUCUCCUCUUUGUCCCCGUCCCUCUCUCUGCCUCUGUCUCCCUCUCUCUCCCUCUGUCUCCUUCCUUUCUCCUUCCAUCCCUCUCUGUAUCCUCUCUCUCUCUCUCUCUCCUUCUGUCUCCCUCUUGCUCCCUCUGUCUCCUCUUUCUCCUUUUGUCCCAUCCCUCUCUCUCCCUCUCUCUCCCUCUGUCUCCUCUUUGUCCCCGUCCCUCUCUCUCCCUCUGUCUCUUCUCUCUCCCUCUGUCUACUUUCUCCCUCUGUCCCUCUCUCUUCCUCUGUCUCCUCUCUUUCUCCGUCUGUCCCUCUCUCACCCUCUGUCUCCUCUCUUUCUCCAUCUGUCCCUCUCUCUUCCUCUGUCUCCUCUUUGUCCCCGUCCCUCGCUCUCUGUCUCCUCUUUGUCCCCAUCCCUCUCUCUCCCUCUGUCUCUCUCCCCCUUUCUCCCCUCUUUCUCCCUCUGUCUCCUCUCUCUCCCUCUCACUCCCUCUCUCUCUCUCUCCCUCUGUCUCCUCCUUGUCCCUGCCCAUCUCUCUCCCUCUGUCUUCUCUUUGUCCCCGUCCCUCUCUCUCCCUCUGUCUCUCUCCCCCUCUCUCCCCUCUUUCUCCCUCUGUCUCCUCUCUCUCCCCCCUCUCCCCUCUCUCCCCCUCUCUCCCAUCUUUCUCCCUCUGUCUCCUCUCU
Oncorhynchus mykiss (rainbow trout) is the source of this 5791-nucleotide long non-coding RNA. NCBI's taxonomy places the organism in Eukaryota, Metazoa, Chordata, Actinopteri, Salmoniformes, Salmonidae. The record is from Ensembl.